This 4613-nucleotide long non-coding RNA is filed under the name Homo sapiens (human). RNAcentral describes it as "HSALNT0379034". The record is from RNAcentral. Lineage: Eukaryota; Metazoa; Chordata; Mammalia; Primates; Hominidae.
AUACAUAAAUAAAUAAAUAUAUUGAUACAUAAAUAGUUUGGGUUCAACAAGGAACAUUUCUGCUUUGCAUGGGAAGAAGAAUACAAAUUUCCUUGGGACUGUUGAUGUAAAUACAAAAAAUCAUAUUCAAAGAUUCUAACUUUUGUUUUAUCAGUGAAAUGUAAGCAUCAAUUUUCUUAACUACAAAAUGGGUUUCCUAACACCAAUAUCAGAGUGCUGUCUGUGGGCCCAGUUACUUUAUAUACAGUUUCCAAGAUGCUAAUAAGCGUUCAAUAAAAGGAAAUAUGUUGUCUGACUUUUUUGUUGUUGUUGUUAGACAAUAUGGAAAAUAAGGCACCAACAUUUCCUCGCUGAGUAUAUUUAUUAUUAAAAAAGAGAUUGCUUUCUGGUGUUUCUGUAAGUGAACACUAAUGUGCUGAAAGUUGAAAAUAAAUAAAACAGGCAGACAAAAAGGCUAGGCAGAAUUCACAGUACAAAUACCUCUGUUAAACCUUGCCAUACCAGAGUGUGACCUUGCAGGAGACAGGGGGACGUGGGGAGUUGUUUAGGAGGCAGAGAAGCAGUGAUGCUGGGAGAUGCAUGACCUAGACUGGCAGGGAUGCCAGUGAGGGGCUCAUUAUGAAGAAUAUGAUUUUUUAAAUAAAUAAUAAAAACUUCCUAAAUGCUUGCUCUAACUUUGCCCUACGAAUUCCACACUGAGCCAGGCAGAGACGUUAAAGAAGAUCCAUAUUGUGCAAGGCGUGCUGGAUUUUGUUCCUUCCGUCAAAAUCAGAUGUUACAAAUCAGAGGACAUCAUGAAGCAGGGUGUGAGCUUCUACUGCUACAUGAGCCUGUUCUUGCAAGACAUGUAGGGGAGAAGAUGAGGAGAAUUGCAGAUACCUAGCACGGGGCCCUGGAGAAUCUCUGAAAAGAGAACAACCAACAAGCACUGUAAGGAGACAAGGUUCUUGCAUCAACAGGCUGCGCAGAGAGAAGAGUUUGAAAGAGAUUCAAUGCUGAAUUUUCUCACUAAUCUGAGGAGAAGAGAGACAUGGAAAGAAAGAACAUGAGAGAGAGGGAGAAUCAGAGUUCAUAUGGCUAAUUUUCUAGCCAGCAGCUACUGGAACGUUUCCAUUAAGAGAUAUGAGAAGAGACAAAGAGAAGUAAUAACUGAAGAUGGCUUUCUUGGCCAGAAAAUAAGUUGUUCUGCCGAGAUGGAGGGCAGUGGGUGAGAGCGCAGAUGAAGUAGGUGCCCGGGGGACACAUUUCAUUUUAAUGUCAUCUCUUUAGUACCUCUCUAUCUGCACAUUCAAUUAACAUCGGAGGGAAAAAAUAAGAAGUUCCUCCCAUGUCAGCCUGCUUGGGGAACAGAACUGGGGAGACACAGUGACCUCACAUGUUCUUCUCAGAGAGUGCUUUCCAUCUCUGAGUUGGCCUUCAACGUUCAAGAAAAUGGAUAUAUUAUUUUUUUUCCUUUUCUAUUUCCUUCAGGAAAGACUAGGUUUCAGUACGGUUUCAAAUAAAAGCAGUGGAGUAAUUUUCUCUCCCGUAGGUUCUCCCUCAGCCCCCUGAAUCAUAAGAAUCAACCCUCAUUCCUUUUCUCCCAACCUCUCAGGUGCAUUUGCUGAGUCACUGCAUGUUGGCCUGAAACAGGGUCCAUGUGUCUCCCCACCAUUUCCAAGGCAUGGAGAUGGGAAGUGGGAAGUGGGGAGGGUGAGCUUUGGACUGAACACCCAAGGCCCACGGCCACCAGCUACGAGGCUUCCCACAGGCUUGUCUUUCUCUGUAUGUCUGUCACAGGAUUCCAGUUCUCCAGUCAAACCAAUGAUGCUUCUUUGGCCCUGUGCUCCCUGAAGUCCUCCCUUUAUAUCAUAAGUAACCAAGGAGUCCUUCAUGCCUGAUUUUUGAAUGCUAGUAAAUUUUCAACAUCCUCAUCCAACUCUAUUCCCCAGGCUUCCCUGCUCCAAACUCCAAAUCACCUGAAAAAUAUGUUCCAGUCACCCCACCUCUGCACCAACUUGAGUGAGUCUGAACUGAGAAGCAUUCAUUCCAAUUUGUCAUAUUUGUGGAGGAUUUUUCUUAAAUGGUCACAAUAUUUCUAGUUCCAUGGGCUCUUCCAAGGCUUUGUCACUUCCCAUCCAGAGGCAGUUUCUGUGUUCUUCCCCUUGAACGUGGGAGGCAUUUGUGACGGCUGCCUUGACCAACAGGGUGGAAGAGACACUGCAUGACCUCUGAGUGAGUAAAGGCCAGGCAGCCCUUGCUUGACUCUCUUCCUUGAGAUGUCAUCCUUAGAACCUCCAUGUUGUGAGAAAGCUCAGGCCACUGGGAAGAACACGUGGGUGUUCCCAUUGUUGACAGCCUACAGACAAUAUCAAACACCAGACAUGUGAAUGAAUGAGCCUCCAGGUAGGUCCAGCCAUUGAGCCAGCCCUCAGUCAACUGUACCAGCUGUGACCCCAGACAUAUUGGGGUAGAGACAAUUAUAAUAUCUCUACUCUGCCUUGUUCCUGUUGCUGACCCACAAUCUGUGAGUCUACUGCUGGUCAUGAAAAAAAACAAAUUGAACUUUCAUUCAUUCAUUCAUUCAUUCAUUCAUCUAUCCACCUACUCAUCCAUCCACCAAAGACACACUUACUGAUAUCCCACUGUGUAUCAUAGACUAUAAGCAUGGGGGCUGCAGAGAUAAAGAAAGAAGUGAAGGUCCUGAGGAGCUCACAGACAUACUACUCAUUCUGCUGUUGACCCAUCACCCCAAGUAACAAAAGAGCACCCCUACUAAUAUCCUGCUUCAGAUUUUCACAGUCGCUCAUUUAUGCUUGCAUUUCUGCUUUGCCAUUCCAACUAAGUGCCUUUAGAAUAAGGGAUCAACUUUUUUUCUCAUGGUGCUUAGCACGGUUUUAUAAAUUUAACACAUGUUUGAUAUAGCUUGUUAAUUUUUGAAAAAUCAGUCCAUAUACUGCUAGAGGUUUUCAAGGCUUCAAGUAAAUAAAAGAAUUACAUUUUGGAAAAAUAACUUAAUAAAUGAAAUCCUUGUGCCAAUAGGAGAAAAAGAAGAAAGGUAUGAAUGAUUUUUGGGUCCUUAUUAGAUGACUGGGGCCUGCUAUUUCAUUUACUCUUCAUAGGAAACUUAUACAAAUUAUGACAAUCCUCAAAUUGCAGACUUUAAGAUAAACUGGCUAAAUUGAAUGACUAUCAAAUGUGGCACAAGGAGUUUAGCCAAUGCCAGGGACUCUUUUGCAGCCACUGUGGUGACUCCAGCACAUGAAGAUGCCACCCAGAUGACAUUUGCUUUCAAGACCUUUGAACAGGCUGCCUUGAAAAGAAUGCUUUCCAAUGUGCAACUCUAUAUCUUCUGUGGCUCUGGCGUUUUGUGAAGCAUUGCUAAACCUAGUGCAGUAAACACCGAAAUGCAGCUGAGGAGUAAGGAAUCAUCUUUGCAUGAAAAGCGAAAACCUUCUCUUGUCCUGCUGGUUUGCUCUGUGGGCAGAAGUGAGGGGGCUGAGAGGUGGGAGGCCUGGACCCAAUGCUCCUAUGCUGUAUUGCUCGGGGUGACCUCGACAUCCAAAGACUUCAUUUUUAAGAACAAUCCAUCUGUGGUGAGGCUGUGGGUGGUAGUCUCUAAAAAGAUGAUGUAACUCCUUAUUAAAAGAAACUGUGGUGUUGGGAAUUAUUCUUCGGAGAGCGGGACUUCUUGCAAGAAAUUCCAAGAACCCCAGAAGCUUCUGGAUAGCAUAUGUGGGUCGAUGGAUGAAGACAUACUCUCUCCUCUGACAAAAUCUUUCUGUCUUGCAUCUAGGGAGCUGUGUAAUUGAAAUCAGAAUUCAGAAAGUGACCGUCGUGAUGUCGUUUACCCACAUCUUUCAUCAUGAGAAAACUAGAGGCACUGGAGGGAGGAAGUCACUUGCCCAGAGUGGCCCAGUGGUUAAGGAUGGUUGUGAUGAGCUGUGAAUGGCUCUGUGGAGCCAGCACAGUGCGUCUGGAGGCUGGUUCUGCACACCUUGGCCUGGUCCACUCACCUCACCCAUGCUCAGUCCUGUUCUCUGCCUUCCUGGCUUCUGACCUUAUCGUGGAUUUUUUGGUCCAGGCCUCACUCCUCCUAUAGGGUUUCACCACUGUUUCUCCUCUUAGCAACAUCUUCCCCCAGAAUAGGGCCAGGCGUGUAAACACAAAAAUAUGCCAGGUAAAAAAAUCCCACAGAAACUGGGCAGGUCAUCAAGUGAGAGGAUCACUUAAAUUCUAAUGUGUAGACCGUCCUGGCUGAAGCAAUAUGUCUGCCAGUUGGAACUGGCUGGAGCUUGCUGUAAACAGCAGACUUGAAAACCAGCAUGGCCCAGACUACGAACUAGGUUUGAUGUUUUGUUUGACAGGCAGGUCUAGAUGACCACUGAAAUAUCAUCAUCUCCUCGAACACUUUUUUCUUCUGAAAAUCAUUUAAAGUUUUUACCAUGUAAAGUGGUAGCUCAGUCCCUGUUUUCCAAGAUUGAGCCAUCCUCCUUUCCUUUGUGUAUCCCCACUGCCAUAUUGCCAUAAAAAUAAUAAGAAUGAAUAACAUUAACAACAACAAAUGUCAUUGCUGGAUGUUCACAUGUCAGGUAAGAUGCUAGGUGUGUUUUUAUUUAUUUAUUUUUUAUCUU